GAUGAACGCUGGCGGCGUGCCUAAUACAUGCAAGUCGAGCGGACGGACGAUAAGCGUGCUUCUCUGAUGUUAGCGGCGGACGGGUGAGGAACACGUGGAUAACCUACCUCUAAGACUGGCAUAACUACGUGAAACUGGAGCUAAUACCGAAUAAUAUUUUGAACGGCAUGUUGCAAGAGUUAACGAUGGUCUUUCUGCCACUUAUCGAUCGAUCUGCGCUGCAUUGGCUAGUCUGUAAGGUAACGGCUUGCCAGGGCGACGAUGCAGUUCCUACGUGGGGGGGUGAGGGGCCACACUGAGACUGAGACGCGAUACAGACACCGACGGAAGGCAGCAGUAGGGAAUGUUCGGAGCUGGGCGAAAGACUGACGAAGCGGCGCAGGGUGAGUGAUGAGAGGCUGCGGAUCGUAAAACUCUGUUAUUGGGGAAGAACAUAUGCGUAAGGGACUAUGCACAUCUUGACGGUACCUAAUGAGAAAGCCACGGCUAACUACGUG
RNAcentral lists this ribosomal RNA (497 nucleotides) under uncultured bacterium. Its description in RNAcentral is "partial 16S ribosomal RNA". It matches the Rfam family "Bacterial small subunit ribosomal RNA", at positions 28 to 507 of the family's 1533-position model. The record is from RNAcentral.